Molecule: ribosomal RNA, 362 nt
Filed under: uncultured bacterium
Lineage: Bacteria
Description: bacterial SSU rRNA
Rfam family: Bacterial small subunit ribosomal RNA
Source: RNAcentral
GCGAACGCUGGCGGCAGGCCUAACACAUGCAAGUCGAGCGCCCGUAGCAAUACGGGAGCGGCAGACGGGAUAGUAACACGUGGGAACGUACCCUUCAGUUCGGAACAACCCAGGGAAACUUGGGCUAAUACCGAAUACGUCCGUAAGGAGAAAGAUUUAUCGCUGAAGGAUCGGCCCGCGUCUGAUUAGCUAGUUGGUGAGGUAAUGGCUCACCAAGGCGACGAUCAGUAGCNGGUCUGAGAGGAUGAUCAGCCACACUGGGACUGCGACACGGCCCAGACUCCUACGGGAGGCAGCAGUGGGGAAUAUUGGGCAAUGGGCGAAAGCCUGACCCAGCCACGCCGCGUGAGUGAUGAAGGCCU